This 88-nucleotide small nuclear RNA is filed under the name Trichinella sp. T6. Its description in RNAcentral is "U2 spliceosomal RNA". It matches the Rfam family "U2 spliceosomal RNA", at positions 1 to 87 of the family's 192-position model. Rfam says of the family: U2 is a small nuclear RNA (snRNA) component of the spliceosome (involved in pre-mRNA splicing). The record is from Rfam by way of RNAcentral. Lineage: Eukaryota; Metazoa; Nematoda; Enoplea; Trichinellida; Trichinellidae.
GUCACUGUUUUGUAUUCUUACUAAGAUCAAAGUAAAGCAUCUGUUCUUAUCAGCUUAAUUUCUGGUAUGAAUCCCAAGUGGAUUCGUU